Molecule: ribosomal RNA, 592 nt
Filed under: Streptococcus mutans
Lineage: Bacteria; Bacillati; Bacillota; Bacilli; Lactobacillales; Streptococcaceae
Description: bacterial SSU rRNA
Rfam family: Bacterial small subunit ribosomal RNA
Source: RNAcentral
GACGAAAGUCUGACCGAGCAACGCCGCGUGAGUGAAGAAGGUUUUCGGAUCGUAAAGCUCUGUUGUAAGUCAAGAACGUGUGUGAGAGUGGAAAGUUCACACAGUGACGGUAGCUUACCAGAAAGGGACGGCUAACUACGUGCCAGCAGCCGCGGUAAUACGUAGGUCCCGAGCGUUGUCCGGAUUUAUUGGGCGUAAAGGGAGCGCAGGCGGUCAGGAAAGUCUGGAGUAAAAGGCUAUGGCUCAACCAUAGUGUGCUCUGGAAACUGUCUGACUUGAGUGCAGAAGGGGAGAGUGGAAUUCCAUGUGUAGCGGUGAAAUGCGUAGAUAUAUGGAGGAACACCAGUGGCGAAAGCGGCUCUCUGGUCUGUCACUGACGCUGAGGCUCGAAAGCGUGGGUAGCGAACAGGAUUAGAUACCCUGGUAGUCCACGCCGUAAACGAUGAGUGCUAGGUGUUAGGCCCUUUCCGGGCUUAGUGCCGGAGCUAACGCAAUAAGCACUCCGCCUGGGGAGUACGACCGCAAGGUUGAAACUCAAAGGAAUUGACGGGGGCCCGCACAAGCGGUGGAGCAUGUGGUUUAAUUCGAAGCA